AUUAAUUCAACUUCAAAUUCACGAUUUUCUCAGUUCUAAACACUGAUUCAAACCGAUACCGAACUAAUUUCACGUAUAAUCUGCCAAGAUUUUUAUUUUUUAGGUCAAUUUCUUUGAUGAAAAAGUCAAAAAAUAAAAAAAAUGAAUACCAAUCAAAUAACGAAUCAAGCAAAACUUAAGCUUGAAGAAACCCAUACAUACCGAUAAUAGACACCAGAGCCGGAGAACAACCGCCGACGUCGGAUAUAUGUUUAGACCUCGCAAAUGGAUGGGUGUGGGCGGGUUUAUGUGGCCUGAAAUCUAGCCCUGCUUCAUAAUCUCCGUCGCUCGAACAUUCAGAAUUCUGGGCUGCUUUUUCCGAAGAUGAUGAGCAAGAGAGACGUCGAUAAUUUGGGGAUUUUGGGCAGAGGGAGAGAUAUGUGAUAAUGGGGUUUGAAGAGAUCUGAUACUUGAAACCAAGGACGGAAAGAAUCGGAACACCCGGAAAAGGAAUCGACUGAAAUUAGAAGAAAGAGGAAGAGGAAGAAGAUGGGAAAUCUGAAAAGAGACGAAGAGGGCGGCGGCUGGGGAGGUGGAGGAGUAGGAGGAAGAAGAAGGGCCGCUGAAGGGAACAGGUAUAUGGAAAUGGAAGUGAAAUAGGGGUGAGGGUAGUGAAGAAGAGGAAGAGGAAGAGGAAGAGGAAGAGGAAGUGGAAUUAGAGAGGAACGGUUUUGUGGAUUGAAGGCUCGAUUCAAAUUUAGUUUAGCGUUUCAAUUGAGCGAGUUAAUUUCAAAUUAAAAUUGAUUUUAAAUUGAGUGAAUUACUCACCCAAUUAUAUAA
RNAcentral lists this long non-coding RNA (819 nucleotides) under Panax ginseng (ginseng). RNAcentral describes it as "long non-coding RNA (PGIN_LNC015988)". Lineage: Eukaryota; Viridiplantae; Streptophyta; Magnoliopsida; Apiales; Araliaceae. The record is from RNAcentral.